Molecule: unclassified non-coding RNA, 2557 nt
Filed under: Cyanidioschyzon merolae strain 10D
Lineage: Eukaryota; Rhodophyta; Bangiophyceae; Cyanidiales; Cyanidiaceae
Description: hypothetical transcript
Source: RNAcentral
GAAAACGAUGGUGCUGGUGCGCCGCCCAGCCACCCGGCUCUGUCUUGCCGAUACGCAACACUUUCCAGCAGCGCUGUACAUGUGUUGCCGCUGUUGUGCGCUUUCACCGAUGACUGUAGAGCACGCGGCGUCCGACUUGCUCGCAUAUAGCCUACGGUUUUGGAACUAGCGUAUAACGCGUUUGUGCUCGUCUUGGCCACUCCAUUGACCCGUUUACGACCCAGCGUCCAGGGUUGCCAGAUAUGGCGCUCGACUUGGCAGCCGACCCAGAGGCGUUUCGGCAACUCGAGUCUACCCACCAGAUCGUCGUCGUUGUCUUCUACCGGGGACGCUGGUGUGCGGUUUGCUGCGCUUGGCUUUCGCGAUUCCAGGAUACGCAACCGGCACUGGAAACCUUUCUGGAACAACAUGACGCGUGUUUGGUUUUUGUCUCCGCCCAGGAAGCGUCCGAGAUGCAUCGCCUGGUUGACAACAUACCCUGUCUCAAAUGUGAACGUGUUUAUUUGCUUGCAGAUGAGCGUACCGAGUUCACGCGCUGGUGGAACAAGCGCGGUUACGGUCAAGUCUUCAUUUCACCGACCACAAAGCAAUAUGGGUAUCGAUAUUCGCACGGACUCUUGCAACCAGCCUUGUUCAUUCUUCAUCAUGGCGAGUGUAUGUACAAGUGGUGCAGCCUCCCGAAUGUGCGGAAUCUGGGCGGCGCCACUGGACGUCCGGAUCCUCCGCUUGUCUUGGCAGCGGUGACCGAGCGCUUCGCCUCUGAUGCAGCAGGGUCGCUUGCUGGCGGUGAAAGGACGAUGCCAGCUACACGGGAACGUACAUGGGUGUUUUUCCGCCGCAUUGUUCGUAGGUUAUUCGGGAAAUUUUAAUAUGCAUAUGGAUCUACAGGUAGACAGCGUGCAUGCUGGGCAUCGCGGGAGCGCUCCACUGCGCUUCGAUAUGGCGAUUCGAUGGCGCUCGCUGGCAGCGGAUUCCCCGCUCAGCCGUACCCAUGAUGACCCGCUCCUGGGUGACGUCCAUUGCAGCAAUACCUGCCUCGCUGCGAGCAUUCAUGGUCAUUGUGGUAUGCCAAAGGUCCCUGGGUUGACCAAGCCCGCUUUGCGUCAGCGGGAAUGCACUGGAACGGGCGGUGCUUGGAAACGUUCGCGUCGGCGCUGGGGGCCAGGCGCUGCUAAUCCGCAGCAAUGCUACCUGCUGGAGGGACUAGUUCCACUGAUUCAUUGGAUAUUGCGAGCAAUAAAAUAUAGUGAGAUCGCAAGGCGACCAGACCUUGGGACUCGGUGUUCGCGCUCAUGCCUGAACGAGCAGAUACUGCGGAGAAGCGACGCUUGAUCCCGCCAUCCGCGAGGCAACUAGCGCGGUAACGGAGUACCUCAGCCGGCCCUGGCGCAUCAGCAUGGACGCUCGGCCAUCCGCAUGGGACAACUGCUUUUCUGUGGCAUGCCUUCCAUGCCACUCGCCGUGUCAAGCGUCGUGCCACUGCUGCUGAUUCUGAUGCAAGCCGCAUACGCUGGAGGCGGUCAGCAACUGCAUCGAAGGUCGGCUUCGUACUCCUGCGGAUCCCGGGCGACAGCCCAUGCGGUGCACAUGAACCCGCCACGAGGCAGUGUUUUCUACUCUGGCGAACGACGACUUGCUGCAAGGCAGCUGUGACAACAGGGAAUUCGGAUCCAGCGCUUAUGAUGAAAGCAGCCGCCGUACCGUGGCUAGUCUCGGUAGACAGAAAUAGACCAUCUGCGGGCACGCAUUCUCCAGGCCAGCGCUGCCGCGUGGUGGUAUUGUGUCGGAGAGCUGCCGGCCUCAGCGGGCAGUUACAACCAGUGGACCGGGAUACGCAAACGGCAGCUCGCUGGCUUCCCUGCGCCCGGUAGUCUCAUUCAGCGAGUGAUGCUGGAUUUGACUCAGGCCCUGCCGGUUCCGAGUCACAUAGAUGUACGAGUCAGCGUACUCCCGAAUAUGAAGAUAAUCGAGGAAGCGCUCUUCAUGGGUUAUGAGUAUAAGCUGAAAAUUGCGUUGCUGUGCACGUUGUUGGAUCAAGAGAGAUAGCGAUGCAGCGAGCGCUUUCACGUGGCUCUCGUCCAGGUUGGUCGUCGGCUCAUCGAGCGCGAGGACCCCGCAGGCGUUCCCAAAGUUUUCCGCCAGCGCAAGGCGGAUCAAGAGACAUGCGAGCACUUUUUGUCCAGCCGAGCAGCGACCACGCAUAUCAAGCCAGGUAUCACCCUGGCGCAUCACUACCCUGUAGUGAUAGGUCCGACGACCCAUUGGAAGCGAGUCCGCCACAAAGUCGGAUCGUAUCUCGAUUUCCUCGAUAUCGGAGCCGAGGUAGGUGCUCUGCCAGAGCUCCCGCAGCACUCGAUUGAUGCUGCGCAUCUUGAGAUCGUGAUAGCGCAUGAUGGCCAAGUCCAGCGCCCGAUGGUAAUUGCGCAAAUCCCUGCAGACCAGCUCGAUCACGUCACACUGCAAACGAAGCGCUUGGAACUGUUGCUCCGCUUGUGCAAAAACGUCCGCAUCGAGUUCCACGGUGAGUGCCCGCAACUGCUCUGCGAGUAAAUCACGC